UCGGAUGGAAGAGAGUCAGCUUAGUGGCGAACGGGUGAGUAACACGUGAGCAACCUGCCUUUCAGUGGGGGACAACAUUUGGAAACGAAUGCUAAUACCGCAUAAGACCACAGUGUCGCAUGGCACAGGGGUCAAAGGAUUUAUCCGCUGAAAGAUGGGCUCGCGUCCGAUUAGCUAGAUGGUGAGGUAACGGCCCACCAUGGCGACGAUCGGUAGCCGGACUGAGAGGUUGAACGGCCACAUUGGGACUGAGACACGGCCCAGACUCCUACGGGAGGCAGCAGUGGGGAAUAUUGCACAAUGGGGGAAACCCUGAUGCAGCGACGCCGCGUGGAGGAAGAAGGUCCUCGGAUUGUAAACUCCUGUCCCCAGGGGACGAUAAUGACGGUACCCUGGGAGGAAGCACCGGCUAACUACGUGCCAGCAGCCGCGGUAAAACGUAGGGUGCAAGCGUUGUCCGGAAUUACUGGGUGUAAAGGGAGCGCAGGCGGAUUGGCAAGUUGGGAGUGAAAUCUAUGGGCUCAACCCAUAAAUUGCUUUCAAAACUGUCAGUCUUGAGUGGUGUAGAGGUAGGCGGAAUUCCCGGUGUAGCGGUGGAAUGCGUAGAUAUCGGGAGGAACACCAGUGGCGAAGGCGGCCUACUGGGCCCUAACUGACGCUGA
Molecule: ribosomal RNA, 662 nt
Filed under: uncultured Lachnospiraceae bacterium
Lineage: Bacteria; Bacillati; Bacillota; Clostridia; Lachnospirales; Lachnospiraceae
Description: bacterial SSU rRNA
Rfam family: Bacterial small subunit ribosomal RNA
Source: RNAcentral